GUCUACAGCAAGUCACCCUAAAUGUACCUGAUCUCAGAAGCUAAGCAGGGUUGGGGCUGUCUAGUACUUGAAUGGGAGACCACAGAGAAAUACUGGGUGCCAUAGCUU
Molecule: ribosomal RNA, 108 nt
Organism: Otolemur garnettii (small-eared galago)
Lineage: Eukaryota; Metazoa; Chordata; Mammalia; Primates; Galagidae
Source: Ensembl